RNAcentral lists this ribosomal RNA (439 nucleotides) under uncultured bacterium. RNAcentral describes it as "partial 16S ribosomal RNA". It matches the Rfam family "Bacterial small subunit ribosomal RNA", at positions 339 to 795 of the family's 1533-position model. The record is from RNAcentral.
CUACGGGGGGCUGCAGUGGGGAAUAUUGCACAAUGGAGGAAACUCUGAUGCAGCAACGCCGCGUGGAGGAUGACACUUUUCGGAGCGUAAACUCCUUUUAUAUAGGAAGAAGAUGACGGUACUAUAUGAAUAAGCGCCGGCUAACUCCGUGCCAGCAGCCGCGGUAAUACGGAGGGCGCAAGCGUUACUCGGAAUCACUGGGCGUAAAGGGCGUGUAGGCGGAUUAAAAAGUCAGAAGUGAAAUCCUAUAGCUUAACUAUAGAACUGCUUCUGAAACUCUUAAUCUAGAAUAUGGGAGAGGUAGAUGGAAUUUCUGGUGUAGGGGUAACAUCCGUAGAGAUCAGAAGGAAUACCGAUUGCGAAGGCGAUCUACUAGAACAUUAUUGACGCUGAGACGCGAAAGCGUGGGGAGCAAACAGGAUUAGAUACCCUCGUAGUC